CAGCUUGUUGGUGAGGUAAUGGCUCACCAAGGCGACGACGGGUAGCCGGCCUGAGAGGGUGACCGGCCACACUGGGACUGAGACACGGCCCAGACUCCUACGGGAGGCAGCAGUGGGGAAUAUUGCACAAUGGGCGAAAGCCUGAUGCAGCGACGCCGCGUGAGGGAUGACGGCCUUCGGGUUGUAAACCUCUUUCAGUAGGGAACAAGGCCAGCAUGUUUGUUGGUUGAGGGUACUUGCAGAAGAAGCGCCGGCUAACUACGUGCCAGCAGCCGCGGUAAUACGUAGGGCGCAAGCGUUAUCCGGAAUUAUUGGGCGUAAAGAGCUCGUAGGCGGUUUGUCGCGUCUGCCGUGAAAGUCCGGGGCUCAACCCCGGAUCUGCGGUGGGUACGGGCAGACUAGAGUGAUGUAGGGGAGACUGGAAUUCCUGGUGUAGCGGUGAAAUGCGCAGAUAUCAGGAGGAACACCGAUGGCGAAGGCAGGUCUCUGGGCAUUAACUGACGCUGAGGAGCGAAAGCAUGGGGAGCGAACAGGAUUAGAUACCCUGGUAGUCCAUGCCGUAAACGUUGGGCACUAGGUGUGGGGGACAUUCCACGUUUUCCGCGCCGUAGCUAACGCAUUAAGUGCCCCGCCU
RNAcentral lists this ribosomal RNA (634 nucleotides) under Arthrobacter sp. Its description in RNAcentral is "bacterial SSU rRNA". It matches the Rfam family "Bacterial small subunit ribosomal RNA", at positions 242 to 874 of the family's 1533-position model. Lineage: Bacteria; Bacillati; Actinomycetota; Actinomycetes; Micrococcales; Micrococcaceae. The record is from RNAcentral.